Molecule: non-coding RNA, 27 nt
Filed under: Mus musculus (house mouse)
Lineage: Eukaryota; Metazoa; Chordata; Mammalia; Rodentia; Muridae
Source: RNAcentral
UAAGUCUACAAGUUCUCAUUUCUGCCU